UACGUAGGGUGCAAGCGUUAAUCGGAAUUACUGGGCGUAAAGCGUGCGCAGGCGGUUUCGCAAGUCAGAUGUGAAAUCCCCGGGCUCAACCUGGGAACUGCAUUUGAAACUACGAGGCUAGAGUGUGUCAGAGGGGGGUGGAAUUCCACGUGUAGCAGUGAAAUGCGUAGAGAUGUGGAGGAACACCAAUGGCGAAGGCAGCCCCCUGGGAUAACACUGACGCUCAUGCACGAAAGCGUGGGGAGCAAACAGGAUUAGAUACCCUGGUAGUCC
RNAcentral lists this ribosomal RNA (273 nucleotides) under uncultured bacterium. RNAcentral's name for it is "partial 16S ribosomal RNA". It matches the Rfam family "Bacterial small subunit ribosomal RNA", at positions 524 to 796 of the family's 1533-position model. The record is from RNAcentral.